UACGUAGGGUGCGAGCGUUGUCCGGAAUUAUUGGGCGUAAAGAGCUCGUAGGCGGCUUGUCGCGUCGGAUGUGAAAGCCCGGGGCUUAACUCCGGGUCUGCAUUCGAUACGGGCAGGCUAGAGUUCGGUAGGGGAGAUCGGAAUUCCUGGUGUAGCGGUGAAAUGCGUAGAUAUCAAGAGGAACACCUGAGGUGAAGACGGGUUGCUGGGCUGACACUGACGCUGAGGCGCGAAAGCCAGGGGAGCAAACGGG
RNAcentral lists this ribosomal RNA (253 nucleotides) under uncultured bacterium. RNAcentral describes it as "partial 16S ribosomal RNA". It matches the Rfam family "Bacterial small subunit ribosomal RNA", at positions 524 to 776 of the family's 1533-position model. The record is from RNAcentral.